RNAcentral lists this transfer RNA (65 nucleotides) under Koreoleptoxis globus ovalis. Its description in RNAcentral is "tRNA-Glu". Lineage: Eukaryota; Metazoa; Mollusca; Gastropoda; Pleuroceridae. The record is from RNAcentral.
GUUUCUGGGGUGUCUCUGCACGUUAGGUUUUCAUUCUAAAGGGGUGGUUUAUUCCACUAGAAAUG